Molecule: long non-coding RNA, 561 nt
Filed under: Vigna radiata
Lineage: Eukaryota; Viridiplantae; Streptophyta; Magnoliopsida; Fabales; Fabaceae
Description: long non-coding RNA (VRAD_LNC007984)
Source: RNAcentral
AAUCCAAUGGAACAGUACGCUACAGAGGAGGUGACAGAUCUGGAUGCUUCUCGACAGUUUGAAGUUGCUCGAGAGUUUGGAUGAUAAGCAGCGGAUGUAGUGAUGUUUAUGGUGAGGGAAGAUGGAGGUUAGCUUGGAGAAGUGAAUCACAACUCAGAAGGCUUCCAUGAGGUGGAAGAAAGUUGCAAUGAAGAACAAGCUUAGGAAGGUGACUCUUGGAGAAGAACUUGCUAACAUUUCAGCAGAGUUUCUUUACUAUUAAUCCAAAAGUGAAGAUACAAGCUAUGCCAAAGAGGUUUUAUAGAUGAACCUCUCGGCCUCUUCAUGGAAAAUGCCUAGAUCCACAAUUUACCAACUCAUCAACAUGUGCUAAAUGUGUUUGGCUUCUAGAAAGCCUUAUGGAACACGUGAAAAAUAAGUUAUGCACAUAUGGAGGGGAAAAUCAAUAAUGCCGCCCCUAUGAUGAUAAACACACCCCUCCUUAUGUAGCAAUGUCCACUUUACCCUUCACCAUGUUCUUGGGUUGUUCUUUAUUUGGUGGGCUUGGGCCCCGCGUAUCAU